CUGAUUGAUUCUGUCAGCGCUAUAUGCUCAGUUAAAAGAUUAAGCCAUGCAUGAGGAGUUCAGCUUUAAGUGAAACUGCGAACGGCUCAUUAGAGCAGAUGUGAUUUAUUCGGAAAAUCCUAUUGGAUAACUGCGGUAAUUCUGGAGCUAAUACAUGCGUAUAAACCCUGACUUUCGAAAGGGUGCAAUUAUUAGAGCAAAUCAAUCAUUUUCGGAUGUAGUUUGCUGACUCUGAAUAACGCAGCAUAUCGGCGGCUUGUUCGCCGAUAAUCCGAAAAAGUGUCUGCCCUAUCAACCUGAUGGUAGUCUAUUAGUCUACCAUGGUUAUUACGGGUAACGGAGAAUAAGGGUUCGACUCCGGAGAGGGAGCCUUAGAAACGGCUACCACAUCCAAGGAAGGCAGCAGGCGCGAAACUUAUCCAAUCUUGAAUAGAUGAGAUAGUGACUAAAAAUAAAAAGACCAUUCCUAUGGAACGGUUAUUUCAAUGAGUUGAUCAUAAACCUUUUUUCGAGUAUCCAGUGGAGGGCAAGUCUGGUGCCAGCAGCCGCGGUAAUUCCAGCUCCACUAGUGUAAAUC
Angiostrongylus cantonensis (rat lungworm) is the source of this 577-nucleotide non-coding RNA. The record is from Rfam. NCBI's taxonomy places the organism in Eukaryota, Metazoa, Nematoda, Chromadorea, Rhabditida, Metastrongylidae.